CAGCAGCCACGGUAACACGUAGGUGGCAAGCGUUGUCCGGAAUUAUUGGGCGUAAAGCGCACGCAGGUGGUUUGAUAAGUCUGAUGUGAAAGCCCACGGCUCAACCGUGGAGGGUCAUUGGAAUCUGUUAAACUUGAGUGCAGGAGAGAAAAGUGGAAUUCCUAGUGUAGCGGUGAAAUGCGUAGAGAUUAGGAGGAACACCAGUGGCGAAGGCGGCUUUUUGGCCUGUAACUGACACUGAGGCGCGAAAGCGUGGGGAGCAAACAGGAUUAGAUACCCGUGUAGUCCCUGUCUCUUAUAC
Molecule: ribosomal RNA, 301 nt
Filed under: uncultured bacterium
Lineage: Bacteria
Description: partial 16S ribosomal RNA
Rfam family: Bacterial small subunit ribosomal RNA
Source: RNAcentral